This 909-nucleotide ribosomal RNA is filed under the name uncultured bacterium. RNAcentral's name for it is "bacterial SSU rRNA". It matches the Rfam family "Bacterial small subunit ribosomal RNA", at positions 516 to 1427 of the family's 1533-position model. The record is from RNAcentral.
CGCGGUAAUACGUAGGUGGCAAGCGUUGUCCGGAUUUACUGGGCGUAAAGGAUGUGUAGGCGGAUACUUAAGUGAGAUGUGAAAGCCCCGGGCUUAACCUGGGGACUGCAUUUCAAACUGGGUAUCUAGAGUGCAGGAGAGGAAAGCGGAAUUCCUAGUGUAGCGGUGAAAUGCGUAGAGAUUAGGAAGGACAUCAGUGGCGAAGGCGGCUUUCUGGACUGUAACUGACGCUGAGGCAUGAAAGCGUGGGGAGCAAACAGGAUUAGAUACCCUGGUAGUCCACGCCGUAAACGAUGAGUACUAGGUGUAGGAGGUAUCGACUCCUUCUGUGCCGCAGUUAACACAAUAAGUACUCCGCCUGGGAAGUACGGUCGCAAGAUUAAAACUCAAAGGAACUGACGGGGGCCCGCACAAGCAGCGGAGCAUGUGGUUUAAUUCGAAGCAACGCGAAGAACCUUACCUAGACUUGACAUCUCCUGAAUAGCGUAGAGAUACGUGAAGCCCUUCGGGGCAGGAAGACAGGUGGUGCAUGGUUGUCGUCAGCUCGUGUCGUGAGAUGUUGGGUUAAGUCCCGCAACGAGCGCAACCCUUAUCAUUAGUUGCUACCAUUAAGUUGAGCACUCUAGUGAGACUGCCCGGGUUAACCGGGAGGAAGGCGGGGAUGACGUCAAAUCAUCAUGCCCCUUAUGUCUAGGGCUACACACGUGCUACAAUGGUGAGAACAACGAGAUGCAAUACCGCGAGGUGGAGCCAAACUUGAAAACUCAUCCCAGUUCGGAUUGCAGGCUGAAAUUCGCCUGCAUGAAGUUGGAGUUGCUAGUAAUCGCGAAUCAGAAUGUCGCGGUGAAUACGUUCCCGGGCCUUGUACACACCGCCCGUCACACCAUGAGAGCUGGUAACACCCGAAGU